This 352-nucleotide unclassified non-coding RNA is filed under the name soil metagenome. Its description in RNAcentral is "partial contains 5.8S ribosomal RNA, internal transcribed spacer 2, and large subunit ribosomal RNA". The stretch from base 1 to 120 matches the Rfam family "5.8S ribosomal RNA", at positions 35 to 154 of the family's 154-position model. The record is from RNAcentral.
GAUGAAGAACGUAGCGAAAUGCGAUAAGUAAUGUGAAUUGCAGAAUUCAGUGAAUCAUCGAAUCUUUGAACGCACAUUGCGCCCGCCAGUAUUCUGGCGGGCAUGCCUGUUCGAGCGUCAUUACAACCCUCAGGCCCCCGGGCCUGGCGUUGGGGAUCGGCGGAGCCCCCCGUGGGCACACGCCGUCCCCCAAAUGCAGUGGCGGUCCCGCCGCAGCUUCCAGCGCGUAGUAGCUAACACCUCGCGACUGGAGAGCGGCGCGGCCACGCCGUAAAACACCCAACUCUUCUGAAGUUGACCUCGAAUCAGGUAGGAAUACCCGCUGAACUUAAGCAUAUCAAUAAGCGGAGGA